AAGGGAUUGCCUUAGUAGCGGCGAGUGAAGCGGCAAAGCUCAAAUUUGAAAUCUGGCUCUUUCAGAGUCCGAGUUGUAAUUUGAAGAAGGUAUCUUUGGGUCUGGCUCUUGUCUAUGUUUCUUGGAACAGAACGUCACAGAGGGUGAGAAUCCCGUGCGAUGAGAUGAUCCAGGCCUAUGUAAAGUUCCUUCGAAGAGUCGAGUUGUUUGGGAAUGCAGCUCUAAGUGGGUGGUAAAUUCCAUCUAAAGCUAAAUAUUGGCGAGAGACCGAUAGCGAACAAGUACAGUGAUGGAAAGAUGAAAAGAACUUUGAAAAGAGAGUGAAAAAGUACGUGAAAUUGUUGAAAGGGAAGGGCUUGAGAUCAGACUUGGUAUUUUGUAUGUUACUUCUUCGGGGGUGGCCUCUACAGUUUAUCGGGCCAGCAUCAGUUUGGGCGGUAGGAGAAUUGCGUUGGAAUGUGGCACGGCUUCGGUUGUGUGUUAUAGCCUUCGUCGAUACUGCCAGCCUAGACUGAGGACUGCGGUUUAUACCUAGGAUGUUGGC
This 544-nucleotide ribosomal RNA is filed under the name Candida tropicalis. Its description in RNAcentral is "partial large subunit ribosomal RNA". It matches the Rfam family "Eukaryotic large subunit ribosomal RNA", at positions 69 to 630 of the family's 3401-position model. Lineage: Eukaryota; Fungi; Ascomycota; Pichiomycetes; Serinales; Debaryomycetaceae. The record is from RNAcentral.